Triticum dicoccoides is the source of this 733-nucleotide long non-coding RNA. RefSeq lists it as uncharacterized. The record is from RefSeq and is a predicted model, not a curated record. The transcript is spliced from 2 exons. Lineage: Eukaryota; Viridiplantae; Streptophyta; Magnoliopsida; Poales; Poaceae.
UACUCCCUCCGUUCCGAAUUACUUGUCGCACGUAUGGAUGUAUCUAGAUGUAUUUUAGUUUUAGAUACAUCCAUUUCAGCGACAAGUAAUUUGGAACGGAGGAAGUAUUUAGGAAGGGAGGGAGUACAUGUUGUGUUUCUGUUCUUUCCCAGUUCAAUUUCCAUGUGGAAAUCAUAGCAGCCACCUGUGGUGAUGUAAUCCUGCCUCCCCAGCUUGAUUAAAUCUUCGCUGCAGAUCAAUAUAUGUGGAGAUCUGUAGUAUUGUAGUAUCACAGAUACUAACAGAUUCUUGGAAAGAUAACCAGCACUUAAUGAGAAGUGACAACAGGCUUGCAUGUGUAAAUAUGCGGAAAAAGGAAGGGUUGGGCGACCUGCUUCAAAACCAAGCUUCUAAAUACUGUAUUCUAGAAAAUGUUUGCAGAUAUCAGCCAGUAUAGCCGAAUCUGUGGAUGACAAUGAAUUUUAUUUACAAAAAAUAUUGAUCUUCUAUGGUGAUGAAUUAGUACAAUAGAUGCACCAUUUGUCAAACAAUUUGUUGGAGAUGGUUUCCUUUUUCCUGUUUAUGUAAAACCGUCGGUAGUGAUUCUAUCUUUUUUUUUCUAGAGAGGAAUGGUAUAUACAUGAAUAGCAAGACAGUGGCAGUACUUUUCUGAUAUGGCUAUAUGUAUGUAUGUACUAAUACAUCCGAUAUAUAAACUGAGAUCAGCCAAUGGGAAGCUUACUCAAAACAUUUA